UACGGGGGAUGCAAGUGUUAUCCGGAAUCAUUGGGCGUAAAGCGUCUGUAGGUGGUUGACCAAGUCUGUUGUUAAAAAUCAGGGCUUAACCCUGAUCCGGCAACAGGAACUAGUAAACUUGAGUACGGUAGGGGCAGAGGGAAUUCUCGGUGUAGUGGUGAAAUACGUAGAUAUCGAGAAGAACACCAAUAGCGAAAGCACUCUGCUGGGCCGAAACUGACAUUGAGAGACGAAAGCUAGGGGAGCAAAAGGG
RNAcentral lists this ribosomal RNA (253 nucleotides) under uncultured bacterium. Its description in RNAcentral is "partial 16S ribosomal RNA". It matches the Rfam family "Bacterial small subunit ribosomal RNA", at positions 524 to 776 of the family's 1533-position model. The record is from RNAcentral.